GCUUCGGAGGCCUAAUGGUUAGAGCGUCCGCCUUGGAUGCGCGAGGUCGUGGGUUCGAUCCCCGGUCGAGUCA
Potamilus streckersoni is the source of this 73-nucleotide non-coding RNA. The record is from the annotation of a GenBank genome assembly. NCBI's taxonomy places the organism in Eukaryota, Metazoa, Mollusca, Bivalvia, Unionida, Unionidae.